AGCCUUUCCGCUGCUCCCCGACCUGCUCUUUGGGGAAAGCCACCACCAGCCCCAAAGAGCAGGUCAGGGAGCAGCAGAAAGGCU
Molecule: microRNA precursor, 84 nt
Filed under: Podarcis lilfordi (Lilford's wall lizard)
Lineage: Eukaryota; Metazoa; Chordata; Lepidosauria; Squamata; Lacertidae
Source: RNAcentral